GUUAGGAAUCUUCCACAAUGGGGGCAACCCUGAUGGAGCAACACCGCGUGCUGGAUGAAGGCCUUCGGGUCGUAAACAGCUUUUGUAUACGAAGAAUAUGACGGUAAUAUACGAAUAAGGGUCGGCUAACUACGUGCCAGCAGCCGCGGUCAUACGUAGGACCCAAGCGUUAUCCGGAGUGACUGGGCGUAAAGAGUUGCGUAGGCGGCUUAUUAAGCGAGUAGUGAAAUCUGGUGGCUCAACCAUCAACACAUUGCUCGAACUGAUAGGCUUGAGAAUGGUAGAGGUAGUUGGAAUUUCUUGUGUAGGAGUGAAAUCCGUAGAUAUAAGAAGGAACACCGAUGGCGAAGGCAAUCCCCUGGGCCUGCACUGACGCUCAUGCACGAAAGCGUGGGGAGCAAACAGGAUUAGAUACCCUGGUAGUCC
This 426-nucleotide ribosomal RNA is filed under the name uncultured bacterium. Its description in RNAcentral is "bacterial SSU rRNA". It matches the Rfam family "Bacterial small subunit ribosomal RNA", at positions 354 to 796 of the family's 1533-position model. The record is from RNAcentral.